GUCGGCUGAUCGGACACCCUGUGGUCCAGGAUCCUGAACAGCCCCCCCAGCCCCCCAGAUCGCGGGCCGGUCAGCCGACAAACUCCAUAUCCCCUCCCCUAAGAGGCCCGCGCGGAUUUCCCCCCACCGCGCGGGCU
RNAcentral lists this small RNA (137 nucleotides) under Caulobacter vibrioides. RNAcentral's name for it is "Caulobacter sRNA CC3664". It matches the Rfam family "Caulobacter sRNA CC3664". RNAcentral also lists the same sequence under 1 other name. The record is from RNAcentral. Lineage: Bacteria; Pseudomonadati; Pseudomonadota; Alphaproteobacteria; Caulobacterales; Caulobacteraceae.